Molecule: long non-coding RNA, 204 nt
Filed under: Marmota monax (woodchuck)
Lineage: Eukaryota; Metazoa; Chordata; Mammalia; Rodentia; Sciuridae
Source: RNAcentral
AAGAAACUCAUAUUUCUGACUGGUGCCUUCCCCUUUUUUAGAAGCAGUGAAAGCUUCUAUUAGUUAUGGUUUUCUACUCUGAAAAAUAUCAAAGGAGAAGAUAGAAGAUAGCUGAUGCUUUUGUUUCCAAGUGACUCCAAACUGAAACUUUGUGGAACUGAAAUUCUUUAAUGUUCCUUCCUUUUACUCAUGCCAAAAAUACCA